GACGAACGCUGGCGGCGUGCCUAAUACAUGCAAGUAGAACGCACAGUUUAUACCGUAGCUUGCUCCACCAUAAACUGUGAGUUGCGAACGGGUGAGUAACGCGUAGGUAACCUGCCUGGUAGCGGGGGAUAACUAUUGGAAACGAUAGCUAAUACCGCAUAAUAUUAAUUAUUGCAUGAUAAUUGAUUGAAAGAUGCAAUUGCAUCACUACCAGAUGGACCUGCGUUGUAUUAGCUAGUAGGUGAGGUAACGGCUCACCUAGGCGACGAUACAUAGCCGACCUGAGAGGGUGAUCGGCCACACUGGGACUGAGACACGGCCCAGACUCCUACGGGAGGCAGCAGUAGGGAAUCUUCGGCAAUGGACGAAAGUCUGACCGAGCAACGCCGCGUGAGUGAAGAAGGUUUUCGGAUCGUAAAGCUCUGUUGUAAGAGAAGAACGGGUGUGAGAGUGGAAAGUUCACACUGUGACGGUAUCUGACCAGAAAGGGACGGCUAACUACGUG
This 505-nucleotide ribosomal RNA is filed under the name uncultured bacterium. RNAcentral describes it as "partial 16S ribosomal RNA". It matches the Rfam family "Bacterial small subunit ribosomal RNA", at positions 28 to 507 of the family's 1533-position model. The record is from RNAcentral.